Molecule: long non-coding RNA, 277 nt
Filed under: Gallus gallus (chicken)
Lineage: Eukaryota; Metazoa; Chordata; Aves; Galliformes; Phasianidae
Source: RNAcentral
AUUCAAUGUAGUAAUAUGAUAGUGGAAACUGCAAGUCCUCAGCAUUCUCUUGUGACUCAUCAUUUUUGGAGGCAAAGUUGUCUUUGUCCAUCAGAAACCUUGCAAAUCCUUCGAAAGAUAGUAGCCCCUGCUGGCACAUAUUGACACUGGGUUCAAACUUCUGGAUAAUGCUGAGGAUUUCAUCAUAGGUGCAGUGUUCUCCUUGGCAAUUCACAAGGAAGUCAUUCAGCUGCUGGAUGCCCACACCAAAUACCCCCAGUGAUGUGCUCUCCACUCC